UUUUUUGUUUUAGGUUUGUUACAUUCUUUAACUGAAGUUUGUAAAAUAAUAAAAAUAAGGCUCGCCCGACUAAUAAAAGUCAAACCGAGCCAAAUUGUAAUGCACAGUGUUAGAAGUGGAGGUCGAGCCUUCGUAAAGAAGCACUCAAAUUCACUAAUGAUCCUUCCGCAGGUUCACCUACGGAAA
RNAcentral lists this unclassified non-coding RNA (186 nucleotides) under uncultured fungus. RNAcentral describes it as "sequence contains ITS1". The record is from RNAcentral. Lineage: Eukaryota; Fungi.